AGGAGGAACAGCCCCAGUGGCGAGGCCAGCUCUGGAAACCUGGAUUCAGCUCCGGCAGGAACUCCGUCUGCAGGGCCUGGAGGCUCCGGGGCGGG
Molecule: microRNA precursor, 95 nt
Filed under: Canis lupus dingo (dingo)
Lineage: Eukaryota; Metazoa; Chordata; Mammalia; Carnivora; Canidae
Description: mir-8834 microRNA precursor family
Rfam family: mir-8834 microRNA precursor family
Source: Rfam by way of RNAcentral